RNAcentral lists this ribosomal RNA (269 nucleotides) under Bacillus thuringiensis. RNAcentral's name for it is "partial 16S ribosomal RNA". It matches the Rfam family "Bacterial small subunit ribosomal RNA", at positions 1 to 257 of the family's 1533-position model. Lineage: Bacteria; Bacillati; Bacillota; Bacilli; Caryophanales; Bacillaceae. The record is from RNAcentral.
UUUAUUGGAGAGUUUGAUCCUGGCUCAGGAUGAACGCUGGCGGCGUGCCUAAUACAUGCAAGUCGAGCGAAUGGAUUGAGAGCUUGCUCUCAAGAAGUUAGCGGCGGACGGGUGAGUAACACGUGGGUAACCUGCCCAUAAGACUGGGAUAACUCCGGGAAACCGGGGCUAAUACCGGAUAACAUUUUGAACUGCAUGGUUCGAAAUUGAAAGGCGGCUUCGGCUGUCACUUAUGGAUGGACCCGCGUCGCAUUAGCUAGUUGGUGAGG